GAUGAACGCUGGCGGCGUGCCUAAUACAUGCAAGUCGAGCGAACGGACGAGAAGCUUGCUUCUCUGAUGUUAGCGGCGGACGGGUGAGUAACACGUGGAUAACCUACCUAUAAGACUGGGAUAACUUCGGGAAACCGGAGCUAAUACCGGAUGAUAUUUUGAACCGCAUGGUUCAACAGUGAAAGACGGUCUUGCUGUCACUUAUAGAUGGAUCCGCGCUGCAUUAGCUAGUUGGUAAGGUAACGGCUUACCAAGGCAACGAUGCAUAGCCGACCUGAGAGGGUGAUCGGCCACACUGGAACUGAGACACGGUCCAGACUCCUACGGGAGGCAGCAGUAGGGAAGCUUCCGCAAUGGGCGAAAGCCUGACGGAGAAACGCCGCGUGAGUGAUGAAGGUCUUCGGAUCGUAAAACUCUGUUAUUAGGGAAGAACAUAUGUGUAAGUAACUGUGCACAUCUUGACGGUACCUAAUCAGAAAGCCACGGCUAACUAAGUG
This 497-nucleotide ribosomal RNA is filed under the name uncultured bacterium. Its description in RNAcentral is "partial 16S ribosomal RNA". It matches the Rfam family "Bacterial small subunit ribosomal RNA", at positions 28 to 507 of the family's 1533-position model. The record is from RNAcentral.